CACGUAGGGGGCAAGCGUUGUCCGGAUUUAUUGGGCGUAAAGAGCUCGUAGGCGGUUUGGUAAGUCGGGUGUGAAAACUCUGGGCUCAACUCAGAGACGCCACCCGAUACUGCUAUGACUUGAGUCCGGUAGGGGAGUAUGGAAUUUCCGGUGUAGCGGUGAAAUGCGCAGAUAUCAGGAGGAACACCGGUGGCGAAGGCGGGUCUCUGGGCCGAUAUUGACGCUGAGGAGCGAAAGCGUGGGGAGCGAACAGG
Molecule: ribosomal RNA, 254 nt
Filed under: uncultured bacterium
Lineage: Bacteria
Description: partial 16S ribosomal RNA
Rfam family: Bacterial small subunit ribosomal RNA
Source: RNAcentral